This 496-nucleotide ribosomal RNA is filed under the name uncultured bacterium. Its description in RNAcentral is "partial 16S ribosomal RNA". It matches the Rfam family "Bacterial small subunit ribosomal RNA", at positions 28 to 507 of the family's 1533-position model. The record is from RNAcentral.
GAUGAACGCUGGCGGCGUGCCUAAUACAUGCAAGUCGAGCGAACGGACGAGAAGCUUGCUUUCUGAUGUUAGCGGCGGACGGGUGAGUAACACGUGGAUAACCUACCUAUAAGACUGGGAUAACUUCGGGAAACCGGAGCUAAUACCGGAUAAUAUUUUGAACCGCAUGGUUCAAAAGUGAAAGACGGUCUUGCUGUCACUUAUAGAUGGAUCCGCGCCGCAUUAGCUAGUUGGUAAGGUAACGGCUUACCAAGGCAACGAUGCAUAGCCGACCUGAGAGGGUGAUCGGCCACACUGGAACUGAGACACGGUCCAGACUCCAACGGGAGGCAGCAGUAGGGAAUCUUCCGCAAUGGGCGAAAGCCUGACGGAGCAACGCCGCGUGAGUGAUGAAGGUCUUCGGAUCGUAAAACUCUGUUAUUAGGGAAGAACAUAUGUGUAAGUAACUGUGCACAUCUUGACGGUACCUAAUCAGAAAGCCACGGCUAACUACGUG